Non-coding RNA from Microcebus murinus (gray mouse lemur), 709 nucleotides. Lineage: Eukaryota; Metazoa; Chordata; Mammalia; Primates; Cheirogaleidae. The record is from RefSeq and is a predicted model, not a curated record.
CAGGUGAACCAUAAAAAGAUCUGGGCUCUUCCUGAGAGGAGGAUGAGAAGCAUGAGAGGGAUACAACGGAGGGAGAGAUUCCACUGCUGGCUUUGGAGAUGAAAUGCCCCAUGCAAGGAUUGAGAGCAGUCUCUGGGAACUAAGAACAGCCCCCAGUCAACAACCAGCAAGGAAAUGAGAACCUCAGCCCUACAGCUACAAAAAAAACUGAAUUUGGCCAACAACCUAAAAGAGUUUGGUGAAGGAUUUUUCUCUAAAGCCUUGAUAGAGGAACACAGCUCAGCCAACACCUUGAUUUCAGCUUUCUAAGACUCUGAGCAGAGAACCUGGAGACACAGGCCCAGACCUACCAAACUGUUAGCUGAUAACUUAACUAGUGGGAAGAGUUUUGGAAACAGACAGACAAGAGUUCAAAUCCCAGUCCUGCCAUUCGCUGGCAAGUCACUUCACAUGUCUUAAUCCUAAUUUCCAGAUCUGUAAAAUGAACAUAACACUUCUUACCUCGAUGCAUUCUUGGCGGGCCUGGAGAUGGUGUGAUGCAGACUGUGGAAGGUGCUUGAUGAACAGGAGUUUUAAUUCCUCGCCCAAAUACUUGGGCUUAGCCACAGGGGGAAAGGUCUGCCCACAGCAGCAGGAAAGGGGACGGUCCCAUUACAAUAGUGCCUGGAGCAUAGUAGGCACUUAAUAAAUAUUUAAUGAAUGAAUAAAA